ACUCCACACCUCCCCACGAGCAGAGGGAGCAGGCUCCGGCCUCCGCCAGCCCCACAGAGGGGCCCCCACAGCGCAGCGGCGGGCCGAAGCGCUCCUGGAGCGCGGCCAGAGCAGACGCGGAGGCCGAGGAGGUGCCGAGAGAGAGCGAGCGAGGGCUGCUAGCAAGUUGUCACCUCUCAACAACACUUUGGGAGGCUGAGAAUCUCUCUCUGCUGCCCAGGCUGGAGUGCAGUGGGAUGAUCUCGGCUCAUUGAAACCUCCACCUCCAGGUUCAAGCGAUACUCCUGCCUCAGGCUCCCGAGUAGCUGGGACUACAAGUGUGCACCACGAUGCCCAGGGCCAUGGCCCGAGAUGUUGACAAAUACAUCCAUGAAUGCUCCAAGGCGAGGAGGGAUGAUUCGAACAAAGUCCAAGCAUAUUCAGAGGAAAUCAGGACUGAGAGUCUUCAUGGCCAAUGCUCAAAUUUGAGGCUGAGGUGAUGAUUUUUAG
Molecule: long non-coding RNA, 489 nt
Organism: Pan troglodytes (chimpanzee)
Lineage: Eukaryota; Metazoa; Chordata; Mammalia; Primates; Hominidae
Exons: 3
Source: RefSeq, a predicted model, not a curated record